Eriocheir sinensis (Chinese mitten crab) is the source of this 2411-nucleotide long non-coding RNA. RefSeq lists it as uncharacterized. Lineage: Eukaryota; Metazoa; Arthropoda; Malacostraca; Decapoda; Varunidae. The transcript is spliced from 2 exons. The record is from RefSeq and is a predicted model, not a curated record.
CACCAGUUAAUCAUUGCCGUCUCUUACAAGUCAGGCACCAGUUAAUCAUUGCCGUCUCUUACAAGAAAAAUAUUCAAAAUCAUAAAAAAAGAUAAACUAUUAGUCCUACUUAUGAUUUUUGUGUGAAAAACUCCUCUUGGGUAAUGUAUAUUAAACUAUGAUUUCAUUGGCCAAGUUUAAUACAAGAAAUUGUCCCCAUAAGGCUGAGUAGCUAGCAUGCAGCCUUGCAUUCUCCCUGGACGCGGCUUCACGCUGCCACCAGGGAUUUUCCUGUCACCAGCGAGGGGCCUAAGACUACCCACAUGCUGUCCUGAAGACCACCCAGCAACCCGGACUCUAGAGGAAACCGCCCAAGUCCUGGUGGCACCCGACCCGAGCUACUGGUACUGCCGGAACCCCCUGGUUGGCGGAUGAGAUCUUCCUGACGGAUGUGACGGCCAACUUCCUGACUGUGAGGAUCGGGGAGUGCAAGAAGCGGCCGGAGGUUUUCAAGGACACGACCGACCCAAACCAGAAAUCCCAGUGCUCGAUUAUGUGAUGUGUUGUGAUUGUGAAUAUGUCUUGACUUUGCUGGUGAAGGUUUCCAUGGCAAAUAGGAUCAUACUGAAAAGAUAUUAGCCGGGGGUCUUCAAGGACACGACCGACCCAAACCAGAAAUCCCAGUGCUCGAUUAUGUGAUGUGUUGUGAUUGUGAAUAUGUCUUGACUUUGCUGGUGAAGGUUUCCAUGGUGAACAGGAUCAUGCUGAAAAGAUAUUAGCCGGGGGUCUUCAAGGACACGACCGACCCAAACCAGAAAUCCCAGUACUCAAUUAUGUGGUUAUUGUGAAUAUGUCUUGACUUUGCUGGUGAAGGUUUCCAUGGUGAACAGGAUCAUACUGAAAAGAUAUUUGCACGGAAAGAUAUUGUUGUGCUGUGUUCGUGGGAGUCCCGUAAACAAACAUGUGGGUACAGCUAUUACUGGACGCAAAAUGUUAUUGUAAAGCCUGCUAGAUACAUUUGACAAGCAUAGAAAACCACCUAAAAAUUACAAGUUAAAACUCUGUCAUCACUUGCAGAAUUGGAAGUCCAAACAAUCUAAACUGAUACUUCAAAGGAAGCCCACAGCCUUAGGAUUACUUUAGGCAUUUGGGUUUGAGCCUUGGUGCAAAGCCAGAUUUUUAAGAAAUUUAUUUAUAAAAUUGUACGGGCCGUGAACACCUCGUGUGUGACCCCCUGCUGCUCACAAGCCGUACACCAAUUAACCGUGUAGCAGCGACGGGACAAAUUUGUGGCUUUACCGUGGAGCAGCGACGAGCCAAACUUGUGCCAUGAUUUAAACCCAAAAAAAUAGAUGAUACACAAGCUGAUCACAAAUGUUUUGAUAUAUACUAUGAAAUGGUUUGUGUGAGGGGUGAUUUUUUCUCAUUUUUCUCGCUUAGAGGGACCAUUAAGAAACAUGAUCCCCGCUGCUACCGGGUUAAAAAAAAAAACUUCCUAUGGAGAAAAAAUAUUCUCUGGGGAAGCUCAAGAGAUAGAGGAAGGCCAUUUCCUGAGGAGUAUUAUGCACUCUUUGUUAUGCCUGUUAGGGCGAACACAGAUUUUUAAUUAUUAUUUUCCCACCAGUAGUACUAUGGGUUGUCCACCUCACCCUACAAUGGAAACAAUAUAACAUUUGAAAAACCAUGCUAUUCCACCUUCUGUAUAAAAAGAGAUGUUAUAUGUUUUUCCUGUUUUAGUCAUGGAAUUUACUAUUAAGCAGAAUAUUGUUGUACACUUGGGCACUUAAACAGGAGGAGGCUUUUCAAACAGGCAAAUGUUGGUGCCCAGAUGUUUAAAAAAUGCUGCUUGGAAGUCUGAAGAGUGACUGGAAUCUGCGACUUCUUAGCUGAUGGGGGCUUCGUGGUGCAGUGGUUAGCACACUCAGCUCACAACCAAGAGAGCACGGGGUCGAUUCCCAGGCGGAGUGGAAAAAUUUGGGCGGCUUUUCUGAUACCCUACGCCCCUGUCCACCCAGCAGUGAAUGGGUACCAGGUAUUAAUCGGGGGUUGUGUCCCGUCUCCUGGGGUCUGUUCUCUUCUCCUAUAAUUCCUUCCCCUUCUGUCUCUCUCCGACACAUGACCACAGAUGUUGCGCCCACUAAACAAAACUUUCCAACUUUUUCUCUGGUGAUUCUCUGUACAGGCAGUGGUUCGGAAGGUGUACUAGACUGCCUCCAGCUGACUGUUUGAGGCUCUACCAUGUCUUCCGGUCAUGGUUUUAGGGUUUCCGCCGUCCAUAAGCUUAAGAAAUCUUGUGUACUGUAUUUCCAAGCUUCUGAAAAUGGACCCAAAAUAUCAUACUGAGUGCCUCUCUAAUGUUCAUCUCUAUGUAUAGGGAAGGGAGUUGUAUCAUAGCCUGUUAAGAAUAUUAAGGUGUCUAUUGUGUAUUUCCA